AGAGCUUGAUCAUGGCUCAGGAUGAACGCUAGCUACAGGCUUAACACAUGCAAGUCGAGGGGAAACGAUAUUGGAAGCUUGCUUCCGAUAGGCGUCGACCGGCGCACGGGUGAGUAACGCGUAUCCAACCUGCCCACCACUUGGGGAUAACCUUGCGAAAGUAAGACUAAUACCCAAUGACGUCCCUAGAAGACAUCUGAAGGAGAUUAAAGAUUUAUCGGUGAUGGAUGGGGAUGCGUCUGAUUAGCUUGUUGGCGGGGUAACGGCCCACCAAGGCAACGAUCAGUAGGGGUUCUGAGAGGAAGGUCCCCCACAUUGGAACUGAGACACGGUCCAAACUCCUACGGGAGGCAGCAGUGAGGAAUAUUGGUCAAUGGGCGAGAGCCUGAACCAGCCAAGUAGCGUGCAGGAAGACGGCCCUAUGGGUUGUAAACUGCUUUUAUAAGGGAAUAAAGUUAGUCUCGUGAGACUUUUUGCAUGUACCUUAUGAAUAAGGACCGGCUAAUUCCGUGCCAGCAGCCGCGGUAAUACGGAAGGUCCGGGCGUUAUCCGGAUUUAUUGGGUUUAAAGGGAGCGUAGGCCGGAGACUAAGCGUGUUGUGAAAUGUAGACGCUCAACGUCUGCACUGCAGCGCGAACUGGUUUCCUUGAGUACGCACAAAGUGGGCGGAAUUCGUGGUGUAGCGGUGCAAUGCUUAGAUAUCACGAAGAACUCCGAUUGCGAAGGCAGCUCACUGGAGCGCAACUGACGCUGAAGCUCGAAAGUGCGGGUAUCGAACAGGAUCAGAUACCCUGGUAGUCCACGCGGUAAACGAUGAAUGCUAGGUGUAGGAGGUAUCGACCCCUUCUGUGCCGCAGUAAACACAAUAAGCAUUCCGCCUGGGGAGUACGGCCGCAAGGUUGAAACUCAAAGGAAUUGACGGGGGCCCGCACAAGCAGCGGAGCAUGUGGUUUAAUUCGAAGCAACGCGAAGAACCUUACCAGGUCUUGACAUCCGUGUAAAGCCGCAGAGAUGCGGUGUGAGCUUGCUCAAUACGAGACAGGUGGUGCAUGGUUGUCGUCAGCUCGUGUCGUGAGAUGUUGGGUUAAGUCCCGCAACGAGCGCAACCCUUAUCGUCCAUUACUAACGCGUAAAGGCGAGGACUCAGACGAGACCGCCGGGGACAACUCGGAGGAAGGUGGGGACGACGUCAAAUCAUCAUGCCCCUUACGACCUGGGCUACACACGUGCUACAAUGGGUACAACAAAGAGAAGCGAGACCGCAAGGUGGAGCAAAACUCAGAAAAGUACUCUCAGUUCAGAUUGUGGGCUGCAACCCGCCCACAUGAAGUUGGAGUUGCUAGUAAUCGCGGAUCAGCAUGCCGCGGUGAAUACGUUCCCGGGCCUUGUACACACCGCCCGUCACACCAUGGGAGUUGGGAGCGCCCGAAGCCAGUGAGGUAACCGAAAGGAGCCAGCUGUCGAAGGUGAGACCAAUGACUGGGGUGAAGUCGUAACAAGGUA
Molecule: ribosomal RNA, 1503 nt
Filed under: metagenome
Description: bacterial SSU rRNA
Rfam family: Bacterial small subunit ribosomal RNA
Source: RNAcentral